This 380-nucleotide unclassified non-coding RNA is filed under the name soil metagenome. Its description in RNAcentral is "partial contains 5.8S ribosomal RNA, internal transcribed spacer 2, and large subunit ribosomal RNA". The stretch from base 1 to 119 matches the Rfam family "5.8S ribosomal RNA", at positions 35 to 154 of the family's 154-position model. The record is from RNAcentral.
GAUGAAGAACGCAGCGAAAUGCGAUAAGUAAGUGAAUUGCAGAAUUCAGUGAAUCAUCGAAUCUUUGAACGCACCUUGCACCCUUUGGCAUUCCGAAGGGUAUGCUCGUUUGAGUGUCAUUGUACUCUCACACUCCCACUCUUUUGGAUUGGGAGCGGUGGACUUGGGUGUUGCUGCUUCACUGUGGCUCGCCUCAAAUGGAGUAGUGCAACUCUCGGUUGGACAUAGUACGGCGUGAUAAGUGUCUUCGCCGGCGCCUCACUAGAGGGUGGCCGAUCGGGAGCUCUGUGCUUCAAACCGUCUUCGGACAAUCUCUGACAACUUGACCUCAAAUCGAGUAGGACUACCCGCUGAACUUAAGCAUAUCAAUAAGCGGAGGA